AUCACGAACUGUGGAGGAAGUCAUCAAUUCUGUCACUGGCACCAUGUCUCGUCACCGUUGCUGCCACCAAAGGAAGCCACUGUCACUAACGCAAGGAACAGAACUCGAAGAGGGAGGCAGUGGAGGGUGAUGCUGCUGUCGUCGUCGCUAUGGAGGUGAACCAACGUCGUAUCUUUGCUUCCUAGAACCACCGUUGCUGUUGCCAUCAUCCCCUAGCUUGGUUGUCAUCACUACUGGAAACUCUUAUUGCUGUUGUUGCCCGUUAGAGAGAGGAAUUGUUCUGUGAAGAGAGGGCUGCCGGGGUUGCUGCUGUUGGUUUUGAUUCUGUUACAUUGAUUCUGAGUUAUGUUUGCUUUUGAUUCUUAUCCAAUUCGAAUCCUUGUCUUGCUGCAACCAUCGUCACUGCCAUAAGAAAUUGACAUUGCUGCUAUUUUAGUUGCAUGCUUGCUACUGCCAUGAAAUUAAAAGAGAAGAGAGUUGCCACGUUUGAUCUAUGUGAAUUCAGCUAAUCGAGGAGUGCUAAAAUGGUGACAACAUGCUACCUAAAGGAUUCAAGAAUAUUUUGACUCAUAGAGACACUAAUCUAUGUUAGACUUUCAACUUUUGGUUGAACGAGUGUAAGAAAUAUAACUCGUAGAACUAAUAAAUGUAGACAC
Molecule: non-coding RNA, 656 nt
Organism: Arachis ipaensis
Lineage: Eukaryota; Viridiplantae; Streptophyta; Magnoliopsida; Fabales; Fabaceae
Source: RefSeq, a predicted model, not a curated record